UGCAAUCUAUGAUGAAAAUUAUCCAUUGCUCCUGAUUUGAAAGUGAUUAUUAUACCAAUAUCACCAUCUUUCGGCUGAGAUUUGCA
Molecule: small nucleolar RNA, 86 nt
Organism: Malania oleifera
Lineage: Eukaryota; Viridiplantae; Streptophyta; Magnoliopsida; Santalales; Ximeniaceae
Source: RefSeq, a predicted model, not a curated record